This 245-nucleotide ribosomal RNA is filed under the name uncultured bacterium. RNAcentral describes it as "partial 16S ribosomal RNA". It matches the Rfam family "Bacterial small subunit ribosomal RNA", at positions 524 to 768 of the family's 1533-position model. The record is from RNAcentral.
AACGUAGGUGGCGAGCGUUAUCCGGAUUCAUUGGGCGUAAAGAGCUUGUAGGUGGCCAUGUAAGUUGGACGUGAAAGUCCCGGGCUUAACUCGGGGAGGCCGUUCAAUACUGCGUGGCUGGAGGGCGUCAGAGGGGAGUGGAAUUCCUGGUGUAGCAGUGAAAUGCGUAGAUAUCAGGAGGAACACCCGUGGCGAAAGCGGCUCCCUGGGGCGCCCCUGACACUGAGAAGCGAAAGCUAGGGGAG